This 2113-nucleotide long non-coding RNA is filed under the name Homo sapiens (human). RNAcentral describes it as "non-protein coding lnc-SOCS5-3:1". The record is from RNAcentral. Lineage: Eukaryota; Metazoa; Chordata; Mammalia; Primates; Hominidae.
CCCAAAACACACAUGGCCCCAGAGAAUAAGAGGACCACAGCUGAGUUGCUUUUCAGACAUCAGACAGCUGUCCUUGUGGAUGAAAGAAACUCCUUUCCAACUUUGAAGAAAAUGUCCAGGGAUCGGGGAGCAGGCAUGUGAUAUUCUUCAAGGUGCCACCAGCCUUUCUCAAUAAAACAUCUCCAGUGGGAAAACAUGGAACCCAGAAAGGGCUGGUGUGGGAAAAAUAUGACAAGGAUGGCCGGCAAAGUAAACCCAUGGUGAAUUCAACCCUGAGAAAGCAGAUUUCCUGGAGUGUGCAAGCUUUGCUUAGGCUUAGUUUUAAUAAAUAAUAAAGAGACACAAUUAAACAAACUAAAGGUGAUCUUGCCCCGGAUGGCUCCUUAGGAUCUUUAGAACAUGGCAAUUCAAUUUAAACGCGGAGCCCCUACUCUGCUGGACUGACAGGAAAUUGAACUGUCCAGGUCAUGACUCCCGUGUAUGAAGUGCAGCUGUCCAGGUCACCCCUGGAACAUCUUUCACAACCUUGCUGAGGGCCCUGCUAGGAACCAGGCAUCUUAAGAAGCACUAGGUCAUCUGGAGGCCCUUCCCAUCAUUAGUUCACAUGAGCACGUCCCAGUCUGCAUGGUCUCCUUGGGGUUACCCCUCUGCUAUUAAAUAUUUUCUAGAAAAAAAAAAAAAAGACUCUUUGGCAAAGACCCAGCCUCCCUGAGGCACAUACAGCGAGGGGGUACCACCAAGAAGCAGGUGACAUCCUUGAGGCUUCUGGAUUCACAGACCUUUUUAGUUUAGGAAAAUACAGCCCUCCUCAAACCCUAUUCUUCUCUGCAGGUUUAUUUGAAAUGAAAGCCUGGAAGUCCAGCCACAAGUCUCUCCUGAGGCUGAGACACAGAGCCAGCCAGAAUGAAAAAUGGAAAGGGGAAAAUACAGAGAGAGAAAUUAAAUCAGUAUCUCAAAGGUUUUCCUCUUUUUUCUAAAAUGAAAUUCCUUUCAUUUUAGUGUUUAUUUUAGAGUUGAGGCAACUGAGACAUGGGCAUAAUGACCAAAGGCACACAACUAGUUACAAACAGUGACACAACCAGUUACUGACACCUACUAGUUACUGACAGAUACUAACAGCCAACAAUAGCUGGCUCUUUCUAUUAUACCAUGGUGCCUCUUCAUUUUUUCUGAUUUCCAACCUCUUUUCUAUUCUAAACUGCCCUUGUUGAUAGGCACUUAAGUCUCUGCACCUACAGUCUUAGACAUAUUUGGAAACUUCUCUUAAGCAUGUUGAUCCAUCCAGGGCUGAAUUAUCUGUGAUCAAAAGAAUUACUCCACCCUGGGGCAUAUCCAACAAGAUGAAAGAUUCAGAAAUAAAUUACAUUGUGCUCCAUUCUUCCUGGCUCUCAACAUCUUCCCGCAUAAGAAAUCAGUUUCCUGAGAGUCUCCAGGCUCCAAAAGGCCAUCCUAAGGGAUGAAGGCAAAGUCUCAUGGGUCCAGCCACCCACCACAGACAUCUCUAGGAUGACUUUGGGGACCUGAUUGUUCCUGUGGCAAUGAUGCAUGUGGCCCUUUCUCUCUUUUUUACCACUCCCAUGUCCAGGUAUGCUCGUGUAUGGAGAGACAACAUUCUACUUAGGUUAAAUGAUCUCCUUUUCAAAAAUGUGGAGUGUAUUUCCACAAAUCUCAGACACUGAGUAGGUAGGAUAUUAGAGUUGCAAGAAUGUUUGGACAGUAGCAACUUUAAAUAUUGCUUUUCUGUUUGUGGUUCUUUGAGACAUAUCCAAACAACUAAUGGAAACAAUUUUUUUUCUAAGUUUUAAGUAAGCUCUGUUGCUUUGGUGUCAGCAGCCUCUACUGCUGCCUCUUGCCAGCUUUCCACUUGGUAGAAGAUGCUUCCUAAAGAUGCACUUUGUGAAGUCUCUGCAGAACCAGCAUAGACCAAGCCAAAUCAUGAUGAAAAUUCUUGUUGUCUGCUCCUUCUCCCAGUGCAGUCCUGUGUUUCCACUUGUUGGAAAUAUAUCUGCCUGUCAAUGUCUGAGAACGCCAGCACCUUUUCGAUGUUACGAACUCACAGUGCUCCUCUUCCAGAAUGCCAGCAUUCAUAAUUUUUAAGCCUCAAACUUUCAAG